RNAcentral lists this ribosomal RNA (460 nucleotides) under uncultured bacterium. Its description in RNAcentral is "partial 16S ribosomal RNA". It matches the Rfam family "Bacterial small subunit ribosomal RNA", at positions 338 to 795 of the family's 1533-position model. The record is from RNAcentral.
CCUACGGGUGGCAGCAGUGAGGAAUAUUGGUCAAUGGUCGUAAGACUGAACCAGCCAAGUCGCGUGAGGGAUGAAGGUUCUAUGGAUCGUAAACCUCUUUUAUAAGGGAAUAAAGUGUGGGACGUGUCCUCUUUUGUAUGUACCUGAUGAAUAAGGAUCGGCUAACUCCGUGCCAGCAGCCGCGGUAAUACGGAGGAUCCGAGCGUUAUCCGGAUUUAUUGGGUUUAAAGGGUGCGUAGGCGGGCUGUUAAGUCAGCGGGGAAAGUCUGUGGCUCAACCCUAGAAUUGCCGUUGAAACUGGGAGUCUUGAGUUUGUGAGAGGCAGGCGGAAUGCGUGGUGUAGCGGUGAAAUGCUUAGAUAUCGCGCAGAACCCCGAUUGCGAAGGCAGCCUGCCGGGCCAUGACUGACGCUGAUGCACGAAAGCGUGGGUAUCGAACAGGAUUAGAUACCCUAGUAGUC